UGAUGGGGCUGUGAUGACUUCUGUUCUCUCUACCCCUCGCCAUUGAUCACCAGCAUUGAUUGGGAUGAUCAGGCUGACUAGGCAGAUCGCUCUGGCAUCCCCCACCACUCAAUGUGUGUCUCUCCUGAAAGCUCCCGACUUGGUUAAAGGGGACAGCCUUCCAUGGUAGAAGGACAGUGGGGACACACUAGUAGCUGUCCUUCUCUGGUGAACCUUCGAACACUCUCCCAGAAAUAACGGGCUUUUCUUUCCAGUGCCAAAGGCAUGUGAUGCUUUCCAUGUAUGUAGAUCAUGUUCAGAAGCUAUAUGACUCU
Unclassified non-coding RNA from Cricetulus griseus (Chinese hamster), 314 nucleotides. Its record names the gene 7SK. It matches the Rfam family "7SK RNA". Rfam says of the family: 7SK was discovered as an abundant small nuclear RNA in the mid-70s but a possible function has only recently been suggested. Two independent studies have found that 7SK RNA binds the CDK9/cyclin T complex (known as elongation factor P-TEFb). The record is from Ensembl. NCBI's taxonomy places the organism in Eukaryota, Metazoa, Chordata, Mammalia, Rodentia, Cricetidae.